RNAcentral lists this ribosomal RNA (246 nucleotides) under uncultured bacterium. Its description in RNAcentral is "partial 16S ribosomal RNA". It matches the Rfam family "Bacterial small subunit ribosomal RNA", at positions 524 to 768 of the family's 1533-position model. The record is from RNAcentral.
UACGAAGGGAGCUAGCGUUGUUCGGAAUUACUGGGCGUAAAGGGCGCGUAGGCGGGUUUCCAAGUCGGGGGUGAAAUUCCAGGGCUCAACCCUGGGACGGCCUUCGAUACUGGGAGCCUGGAGAUCGGGAGAGGUGAGUGGAAUUCCGAGUGUAGAGGUGAAAUUCGUAGAUAUUCGCAAGAACACCAGUGGCGAAGGCGGCUCACUGGCCCGAUACGUGACGCUGAGGCACGAAAGCGUGGGGAG